Molecule: ribosomal RNA, 371 nt
Filed under: uncultured bacterium
Lineage: Bacteria
Description: partial 16S ribosomal RNA
Rfam family: Bacterial small subunit ribosomal RNA
Source: RNAcentral
ACUACGGGUGGCGGCAGUAGGGAAUGUUAGGCAAUGGGCGCAAGCCUGAACGAGCGAUGCCGCGGGAGUGAAGAAGGCCUGCGGGGCGGAAAGCUCUGUUGCGGGGGAAAAAAGGCAACGACAGGAAAUGGUAGAUGACAGAUGGUGCCACGCCAGAAAGUCACGGCUAACUACGGGCCAGCAGCCGCGGUAAUACGUAGGUGGCGUGCGUGAGCCGGAGUGAUUGGGCGGAAAGGGGGCGCAGGCGGUCCGGCAAGUCUGGAUGGAAACGUAUGAGGGCAACUCAUUCAUUGCUCUGGAAACUGGCGGACUGGAGAGCAGGAGAGGGCGGUGGAACUCCAUGUGUAGCGGUCACAUGCGUAGUUAUCUGG